UUUGAAAUCUGGCCUCUUUGGGGGUCCGAGUUGUAAUUUGUAGAGGAUGUUUCGGGUACCGCCCCGGUCUAAAUUUCUUGGAACAGAAUGUCAAAGAGGGUGAGAAUCCCGUCUUGGAUCGGUGGUAGGGCCCAUGUGAAACUCCUUCGACGAGUCGAGUUGUUUGGGAAUGCAGCUCAAAAUGGGUGGUAAAUUUCAUCUAAAGCUAAAUAUUGGCCAGAGACCGAUAGCGCACAAGUAGAGUGAUCGAAAGAUGAAAAGCACUUUGAAAAGAGAGUUAAACAGUAUGUGAAAUUGUUGAAAGGGAAGCGCUUACAACCAGACUUGAGCGCGGCGGUUCCCCCUUCCUUCUGGUUGGGCUACUCCGUCGUGUCCAGGCCAACAUCGGUUCUGGGGGCCGGUUAAAGGCCCCGGGAAUGUAUCUACGCCUUCGGGUGUAGACUUAUAGCCCGGGGUGUCAUGCGGCCACCUGGGACCGAGGAACGCGCUUCGGCUCGGAUGUU
Molecule: ribosomal RNA, 503 nt
Filed under: Exophiala pisciphila
Lineage: Eukaryota; Fungi; Ascomycota; Eurotiomycetes; Chaetothyriales; Herpotrichiellaceae
Description: eukaryotic LSU rRNA
Rfam family: Eukaryotic large subunit ribosomal RNA
Source: RNAcentral